AGUUCAAGAUUCCGAGACAGGCUGGGGUUUGUAAAUUUUGGCAAACACCAACUUGGUUCGGAAUUUUGGGCUAA
RNAcentral lists this microRNA precursor (74 nucleotides) under Cordylochernes scorpioides. Lineage: Eukaryota; Metazoa; Arthropoda; Arachnida; Pseudoscorpiones; Chernetidae. The record is from RNAcentral.